UACGAAGGGGGCUAGCGUUGUUCGGAUUUACUGGGCGUAAAGCGCGUGUAGGCGGGCCUGUAAGUUGGGGGUGAAAGCCCGGAGCUCAACUCCGGAAUUGCCUUCAAGACUGCAGGCCUGGACCCAUGGAGAGGCAAGUGGAAUUGCGAGUGUAGAGGUGAAAUUCGUAGAUAUUCGCAGGAACACCAGUGGCGAAGGCGACUUGCUGGACAUGUGGUGACGCUGAGACGCGAAAGCGUGGGGAGCAAACAGG
RNAcentral lists this ribosomal RNA (253 nucleotides) under uncultured bacterium. RNAcentral's name for it is "partial 16S ribosomal RNA". It matches the Rfam family "Bacterial small subunit ribosomal RNA", at positions 524 to 776 of the family's 1533-position model. The record is from RNAcentral.